Molecule: long non-coding RNA, 867 nt
Filed under: Octopus vulgaris (common octopus)
Lineage: Eukaryota; Metazoa; Mollusca; Cephalopoda; Octopoda; Octopodidae
Source: RNAcentral
GGGUCUGAAAUAGAGCAAGAGAGAGAGAGAGAGAGAGAGAGAGAGUGAGACGAAAAGAGACAGUGCGCUGGAAGCGCCCCGUGUGUGUGUAUGUGUGUGCGACGGCUGCUUUUGCUUGGCUUGUAAGUGUCUUGCAUUUAAAACUACAUCACGUUCCAAUAGGCUGCGACACGAGAAAAACGCUGGGAUUUUUUAGUUCUUUGCGUUACGGAAAACCUUACAUUCGAAAGUGCUUCAGGGGGAGACAGAGAGUAAAAAGUUUAAAAAAAAAAAAUUAAUAAUAAUAAUAAAAUAAAAAAAAUAUAUAUAUAUAUAUAUAUAAUAAAUAAAUUAUAUGUUAAAAGAAAAAAAAAAAAAGAAAACACAGGUCCGGGUCUAAAAAAAAAGAAAAGAAAAUAUAUUUGAGCUUUCACACACCACCAAACAACCAACAAAUACUGGCGCAAACAUAACCCAUAUUUAUAUUUAUAUAUACAUACAUACACGUACAUAUAUGUAUAUGCAUAUGUCUACGUUCAUAAAUAUAUAUAUGUAUUAUAUAUAUAUUUAAAAUAUUUUACAAUACAUACAGUCUUAUUACACAGGCGCGUAUACACCAAAAAGUCAAAAUAGGUAUAGAAAACGAUAAAAAACGGAGGUACAUUAAAACCGGCACCCUGGCUAUUGCUAAGAAAAGUAUGGUCCAAUGUGCAGGGUGCGAUCGCCCGAUUUUGGACCGAUUUCUCUUAAAUGUGCUCGAUCGAGCGUGGCAUGCAAAAUGCGUCCAGUGUUAUGAUUGUAAAUGUAAUUUGACGGAGAAAUGUUUUUCACGAGACGGGAGGCUUUACUGUCGGACAGACUUCUUCAGGUAAGCUUCAACUAUUUCAU